This 172-nucleotide ribosomal RNA is filed under the name uncultured bacterium. RNAcentral describes it as "partial 16S ribosomal RNA". It matches the Rfam family "Bacterial small subunit ribosomal RNA", at positions 338 to 526 of the family's 1533-position model. The record is from RNAcentral.
AUUACGGGAGGCAGCAGUGGGGAAUAUUGCACAAUGGGGGAAACCCUGAUGCAGCAACGCCGCGUGAGUGAUGACGGCCUUCGGGUUGUAAAGCUCUGUCUUCGGGGACGAUAAUGACGGUACCCGAGGAGGAAGCCACGGCUAACUACGUGCCAGCAGCCGCGGUAAUAAU